CAUCAGUCCCAUCCCGCCGCCGCCAGCAUCUCCCACCUCGGGAUCCCUCCAGAUCCACCCUCUCUCCCUCGAUUUCCUGAUCGGGCCAACCACCUCCUUCCCUCGAUCCACCCAAUCCCGCAACCGAGGCCCGAGCUCCUCUCGCUCAAUCCCUCCUCGAGCAUCUGCCUCUGCCCGAGCUCCUACCGCAGCUCCCCAUCACCCUCGACCCCGCCUCGUCGGCCGGUCGACAACGGCGACCGGAACAACGCCGGAGAUGAGUGCCCCGACAGCCCCGCUCGUUUUCCCCUCCUGCUUCUCUACCUCUCUGUCUCACGAUCUUCCCCUCCCUCUCUCUGUUUUCGCUCACAGGAGACCGCCAUGGCGCCGCUGUAGUUCUUCUGAAGUUGGAUGCAGCAGCGCUGCAUCGAGCGCACGCCCGCGCCGCCGCUGCCGUGUCUGCCUCCCUCCGCCUCCAGCCGUCCCCGACGCCAUGCGCCUCGUCCGCCUUGCCAGGUUCUUCGCCAGUCCCUCGUCCCGCUCGUCUCCGACACCAGCGCCGUCCGCCCCGGCAACCUCGACGUCGAGCUCCAGUAGGAACUGCUUCGCGCGCCCCUGUACCCGCGAGCGUCUGAGGCUGCGCCCUCCUCCUCGUCCAGCCCCUCCCCGUCGCCUGCAUCUCCUUCGGCAACGCCGCCGUGCCCGCACGCCUAUGGCGAAGCUCCGGGAGCUCCGACGCCCUGGAGACCCGCGCCCCCGCCGGACAUCCUUCCUCCGCAUCCGGCCACGCCGGCGACAAGCCCUGCCUCCGCCGCCUCGUCAAGUUUCGCCGCCUGAACCUCCCUGCAUCGCCAUGGCCGCCGGCCUCCGUUUUCCCCGCUCUUCGGUUUCUUUCCGGAGUUGUGAGGAUUCGUUCGACUACGUCCGUUUGUCUUCUUCAUGGACUCGUUCUUCUUCCUUGCAGGAUCUCAGUUGCAGGUGCCGAGGAUACCAGUGCAGGUGGCGCAACUGAGCUCAAGUGGGAGCUCGAUGCAGAUCUUGUUCAUUGUGUUGUUUCUGUUCUUGUUGAUCAGUAGUGGAGCCCAGUUGGGACGAUCGGGGAUCUAGCAUUUGGGGUUGUCUUCUUUUAUUUUGGUUCCGUAGUCGGACCUAUGUGUGUACUCUGAUUGAUGUAUGAUUUUAUUAUGUAUUGUGUGAAGUGGCGAUUGUAAGCCAAUUC
This 1198-nucleotide ribosomal RNA is filed under the name Triticum aestivum (bread wheat). RNAcentral describes it as "partial small subunit ribosomal RNA". Lineage: Eukaryota; Viridiplantae; Streptophyta; Magnoliopsida; Poales; Poaceae. The record is from RNAcentral.